CAGCCAUCUGGUUCAGGGUUGGCAGCUGAUCCUUCUGUGGGAAUCUCGUCCAUGAAAGUAAAUAGCAAGUGUCUGGAAGUGUCCGUGUAACCUGAGAAGCAGAGCCCGGCUGCCUUCCAGAGCAGCUUCACCAGUCCUCACCAGCAAUGCACCCCAGCAUCUUCCUCAGUGUCUGCUGUUGUCAGGAAGCAGAUGCUUACGGACCUGCACAGCUGAAGGAUGGCUAAAAUGUAAAAGACCAGCAACAUUAUCUGGAAUGUGGAUCAACCAGAGCUCUCAGACACUGCUGGUGGACGUGCAAGUUGGUGCGACCACUUUGGAACGCUAUUCGACAGCAUCUACCACUGCAUGAAUGGAAACGCCCUCCAGAAAUUCAAGUUGUGGUUACAUACCCAGAAGAAAUGGGUAAUACGUCCAUCAAAAGACAUGUUCACAUUUCCUAUAUUCAUAAUAUCCUCAAAUUGGAAG
Long non-coding RNA from Tupaia belangeri chinensis (Chinese tree shrew), 468 nucleotides. RefSeq lists it as uncharacterized. The transcript is spliced from 3 exons. The record is from RefSeq and is a predicted model, not a curated record. NCBI's taxonomy places the organism in Eukaryota, Metazoa, Chordata, Mammalia, Scandentia, Tupaiidae.